UACGUAGGUGGCAAGCGUUGUCCGGAUUUACUGGGCGUAAAGGGCGUGCAGGCGGCUUGUUAAGUGCAGGGUGAAAGCUCCCGGCUCAACUGGGAGAGGUUCUUGCAUACUGGCGAGCUCGAGGGAGGCAGAGGAAAGUGGAAUUCCCGGUGUAGUGGUGAUAUGCGUAGAUAUCAGGAGGAACACCGGUGGCGAAGGCGGGUCUCUGGGCAGUAACUGACGCUGAGGAGCGAAAGCGUGGGAGCGAACAGG
RNAcentral lists this ribosomal RNA (252 nucleotides) under uncultured bacterium. Its description in RNAcentral is "partial 16S ribosomal RNA". It matches the Rfam family "Bacterial small subunit ribosomal RNA", at positions 524 to 776 of the family's 1533-position model. The record is from RNAcentral.